GGUUGAGUUUUGCUUUAUUUGAAUGACAAGGAAAUGUGCCACCCAUUAGAAUGAUGUGUCACCUCGAAACCAACUCCAGCCAAAUUGGAGAGAGAGAAGCGGAACGUUAAUGUGGAGUCAUAAAUACUCAACUUCACACGAAAAAAAAUCCAAAGAGCCCCAAAGAGUGUGGCAAGAAGUAUAUUGCACCUUGAUCAUUGCUGCGUAGGUGGUCUCGAGAGCGAACUAAUGCGUGUAUUCCAGAUACUUGAGCUUGUUUCUUCACUGUACUUAAAUCUACUCUACAUACCGGGCAUGAGUAUCAUACCCAAGAGCACUCAAAUACAUAUGGACAGAACUGGAAGCCAAAGGGAAGCUCUUUUGUACAUUUUAAGUAUGGCUCAGAAAUCAGUCACUAUGUACAUCCUCUUUCAACAGAGUAACUACCAAUUUUUUUUCUUUGUGAGCUCUGUUGUAAAUUGUAAUAGAUAUUGAUUUCUCUGAACUUUGGUAGCCAACUAAUUUUUAUUCUUUGCUUGUCGGCU
Long non-coding RNA from Asparagus officinalis (garden asparagus), 524 nucleotides. RefSeq lists it as uncharacterized. The transcript has 2 exons. NCBI's taxonomy places the organism in Eukaryota, Viridiplantae, Streptophyta, Magnoliopsida, Asparagales, Asparagaceae. The record is from RefSeq and is a predicted model, not a curated record.